UUAUGGCUCAGGAUGAACGCUGGCGGCGUGCCUAAUACAUGCAAGUCGUACGAGGGGAGUCCAGCUUGCUGGACGGAACGAGUGGCGAACGGGUGAGUAAUACGUAAGCAACCUGCCUGCAAGGACUGGGAUAACACCUGGAAACGGGCGCUAAUACCGGAUAGGUAACGGAGGGGCAUCCCACUGUUAUUAAAGGUUAAAAACACAAGCAGAUGGGCUUACGGUGCAUUAGCUAGUUGGUGAGGUAACGGCCCACCAAGGCGAUGAUGCAUAGCCGGCCUGAGAGGGUGAACGGCCACAUUGGGACUGAGACACGGCCCAGACUCCUACGGGAGGCAGCAGUAGGGAAUUUUCGGCAAUGGACGAAAGUCUGACCGAGCAACGCCGCGUGAGUGAAGAAGGUUUUCGGAUUGUAAAGCUCUGUUGUAAGGGAAGAACAGCACGGAGAGAAUCCGUGAAUGACGGUACCUUACCAGAAAGCCACGGCUAACUACGUGCCAGCAGCCGC
RNAcentral lists this ribosomal RNA (508 nucleotides) under uncultured bacterium. RNAcentral describes it as "bacterial SSU rRNA". It matches the Rfam family "Bacterial small subunit ribosomal RNA", at positions 17 to 518 of the family's 1533-position model. The record is from RNAcentral.